CCGCGUCCGUCCUUCAGGUCCCCAAAUCCCGACCGGAGUCAGUUAACUCCCCUUAGCCCGCUCCCCUCCGGUCGGAGCUCGUGUCCAGGAGCACUUCCCACGUCCGUCUGUCUGUCCGCUGCUGCCUGAGCUGCGUCCCCGUCCCUUCCCCCCGCCGCCCGUCAGACAAAGGCAGAACGACGCGUUACCUCAAUGAGAACCAGGAUGUUUAGGAGAAGAGAAGCAUCGUUCAACAACACAAGAAGAUGAUCAGGCCUCCAGCUGCACAGCUCUUCGGUGUUUUAUAUUUAGCUAGAUGGAUCCCAGAGUUUCCCAGAAUUACAAUAUUAAUUUCUGCCCUAUCAGCUGAAAAACACAUGCAUUUUCUCAAUCAUUUAGACAGCUUUAUAGAGGUAAAAUAUGACGGAGGGGGCUGGGGAUGGUAGAUCAGGGGGAUUACGUAUACGCACUUAAGAACACAACGUCUUUUCCCCCCCGUUUAAUAUAAUCGCAACAUAUUUCCUGACUCCAGCCUACCACGGCUCUUUAUCCAGUUAACAUUCCCAAGGCUGAUGCUUGAAGUAUCUAAGAUCACUUUCAAAUGCCCUUUCUAACAAGACCUGAGCAAGAGGCCACUAAUUUUCAGUGAACAAAAAGCCACUGGAGAGAGAUCCGUUUGUCAAUAUCAACUGGUCCAGCAAUUUCCCAUCUUCAGACACAUCGGCCUAUCUGAGCUGGCAGAUGUUUAGACAAGAUUUUAUAAAUUGUUCAAUAUCAGACCAUAAUGAACCCCAACUGACCAUUCCAAAGCAGCUAAAAGCAUUCAGGAUCUCCCCUGCUGGGAUCUAAUAAUGCUCUCACGCUGGAAGAUUAUUAAUCACGGAAUAAAAUAGAUGAGCCUCUUGAAAAAUAAGUGUAUGAUUGAUUAAAGGGCAAUCUAAGAAGCUAUUAUUCUUGUUUUAUAACCGUAAGCUAUAUUCACUCAAUUUAUCUUUUGGGGAAAAUAAAUGAUUGUUCGUUUCUUUUCUGAAAUUAUAUUAUAUGAGGAUUCCCAUUAUUUCACUGAAAAUUAAAAUGAUUAGUUAGCUGAUUUUAUGAGCUCACUCGAGGUGGAUUCCUCCUAUGACUAUCAAAUCAAAGAUGUACGAAAAAAAAAAAAGGAAAAAAAGAUCAUUAAAAACAGGAAUCAGACUUUUUUCUCUUUGUGCAUCUGUGCUUGCGCAUUUUAGCCAGAAGCAGAAACAAAGAAAUUAGAAAUAAACUGCAGUUGAUUGUAAUUCCUUUUUGUUUUCCCUAGAAAUGUUGGAUGAAAAGAACAUUAACCCUAAUAAAGAGCUACCUCACGCCCAGCAUAAGUAGUUUUAAGAAACAUGCAUGUAUUCACAUUGCUCUCUCUACGCAUUUGCAUGUGUGUAUACAAAUACGUAUUUGCACACAUGUGCGCAUUUAAAGCUUCAGUACAACAGAACGACCCAGAAUGAAUUAAUUUAUGCAGGGCAUAUCUUUGCAACAUGUUUAAAUCGCUUACUCGUUUUAUGGUCUAAGCUGCACUAGUGAAAUUACAACUUUCAUCAUUUUCUGGAUGAUAUAUUACUACUUUGGGGGAAAUAAAGAAAAAACACCAUAUUGUUGCAGACUAGUCUGUUUUUAUUUACAAUUAGAGAUAUAAAUUAGUAAAGAAUUCUCGUUAAACAACCAAAGAUUGUAUAACCAUCAACGUUUCAAAUAAAAACCAGGCAAAAUUUAUUUACAAAAAGUUCAGAUUCCAUUGCAAUACAACUUGCAUAAAUUACUAGAAGCUUUAUAUCGUUACAAAAAUAAAUAUCAAAUUUGUUUCCACUUUGUAAGGACUCAAGUUCUCCAAUCACGUCUUUAUUAUCUCUACUGUAUACAUCUUUUACAAAUAAAUUUUACAAUAAAUCCUAUCACACCUAUCGAAUAUAUACCGUGGCAAUGAAGUGAUCAAUUCGAGAUAUCCUGAGAAAAACAGAUCUGUUUUCAAAAGUCACACGUACAUUGGGGAAACUAUACUAUACCAGCAAACUCACAUUAUGUCCGACAAAAUUCUGGUUUAAUAAUUAGAGUCUGAAGAUUUAAUAGUGCUCUGUGGUCUUCUUUUAUACAGUGGCACAAGAUGUGAUCCGGAUUUAGAGAUUUGUUAUAUAUAUUAGCUCAGGGAGAGAUGAUGGCUUGCUGACUUUUUUCAAAGCAAUUGUGACACCUACCUGUGGACCAAGGAAAAAACCAGAUCAUCCAAAAAU
Molecule: long non-coding RNA, 2240 nt
Filed under: Gallus gallus (chicken)
Lineage: Eukaryota; Metazoa; Chordata; Aves; Galliformes; Phasianidae
Source: RNAcentral